GAUGAACGCUGGCGGCGUGCCUAAUACAUGCAAGUCGAGCGAACGGACGAGAAGCUUGCUUCUCUGAUGUUAGCGGCGGACGGGUGAGUAACACGUGGAUAACCUACCUAUAAGACUGGGAUAACUUCGGGAAACCGGAGCUAAUACCGGAUAAUAUUUUGAACCGCAUGGUUCAAAAGUGAAAGACGGUCUUGCUGUCACUUAUAGAUGGAUCCGCGCUGCAUUAGCUAGUUGGUAAGGUAACGGCUUACCAAGGCAACGAUGCAUAGCCGACCUGAGAGGGUGAUCGGCCACACUGGAACUGAGACACGGUCCAGACUCCUACGGGAGGCAGCAGUAGGGAAUCUUCCGCAAUGGGCGAAAGCCUGACGGAGCAACGCCGCGUGAGUGAUGAAGGUCUUCGGAUCGUAAAACUCUGUUAUUAGGGAAGAACAUAUGUGUAAGUAACUGUGCACAUCUUGAUGGUACCUAAUCAGAAAGCCACGGCUAACUACGUGCCAGCAGCCGCGGUAAUACGUAAGUGGCAAGCGUUAUCCGGAAUUAUUGGGCGUAAAGCGCGCGUAGGCGGUUUUUUAGUCUGAUGUGAAAGCCCACGGCUCAACCGUGGAGGGUCAUUGGAAACUGGAAAACUUGAGUGCAGAAGAGGAAAGUGGAAUUCCAUGUGUAGCGGCGAAAUGCGCAGAGAUAUGGAGGAACACCAGUGGCGAAGGCGACUUUCUGGUCUGUAACUGACGCUGAUGUGCGAAAGCGUGGGGAUCAAACAGGAUUAGAUACCCUGGUAGUCCACGCCGUAAACGAUGAGUGCUAAGUGUUAGGGGGUUUCCGCCCCUUAGUGCUGCAGCUAACGCAUUAAGCACUCCGCCUGGGGAGUACGACCGCAAGGUUGAAACUCAAAGGAAUUGACGGGGACCCGCACAAGCGGUGGAGCAUGUGGUUUAAUUCGAAGCAACGCGAAGAACCUUACCAAAUCUUGACAUCCUUUGACAACUCUAGAGAUAGAGCCUUCCUCUUCGGGGGACAAAGUGACAGGUGGUGCAUGGUUGUCGUCAGCUCGUGUCGUGAGAUGUUGGGUUAAGUCCCGCAACGAGCGCAACCCUUAAGCUUAGUUGCCAUCAUUAAGUUGGGCACUCUAAGUUGACUGCCGGUGACAAACCGGAGGAAGGUGGGGAUGACGUCAAAUCAUCAUGCCCCUUAUGAUUUGGGCUACACACGUGCUACAAUGGACAAUACAAAGGGCAGCGAAACCGCGAGGUCAAGCAAAUCCCAUAAAGUUGUUCUCAGUUCGGAUUGUAGUCUGCAACUCGACUACAUGAAGCUGGAAUCGCUAGUAAUCGUAGAUCAGCAUGCUACGGUGAAUACGUUCCCGGGUCU
Molecule: ribosomal RNA, 1371 nt
Filed under: uncultured bacterium
Lineage: Bacteria
Description: bacterial SSU rRNA
Rfam family: Bacterial small subunit ribosomal RNA
Source: RNAcentral